RNAcentral lists this ribosomal RNA (253 nucleotides) under uncultured bacterium. RNAcentral's name for it is "partial 16S ribosomal RNA". It matches the Rfam family "Bacterial small subunit ribosomal RNA", at positions 524 to 776 of the family's 1533-position model. The record is from RNAcentral.
UACGGGGGGAGCAAGCGUUGUUCGGAUUUACUGGGCGUAAAGAGCUCGUAGGUGGUUUGUCGCGUUGUCCGUGAAAACUCACAACUCAAUUGUGGGCGUGCGGGCGAUACGGGCAGACUGGAGUACUGCAGGGGAGACUGGAAUUCCUGGUGUAGCGGUGGAAUGCGCAGAUAUCAGGAGGAACACCGGUGGCGAAGGCGGGUCUCUGGGCAGUAACUGACGCCGAGGAGCGAAAGCGUGGGGAGCGAACAGG